RNAcentral lists this ribosomal RNA (431 nucleotides) under uncultured Paraglomus. RNAcentral's name for it is "eukaryotic LSU rRNA". It matches the Rfam family "Eukaryotic large subunit ribosomal RNA", at positions 1 to 428 of the family's 3401-position model. Lineage: Eukaryota; Fungi; Glomeromycota; Glomeromycetes; Paraglomerales; Paraglomeraceae. The record is from RNAcentral.
GGCCUCAAAUCAGACAAGAGUACCCGCUGAACUUAAGCAUAUCAAUAAGCGGAGGAAAAGAAACUAACAAGGAUUCCCCUAGUAACGGCGAGUGAAGCGGGAACAGCUCAAAUUUUAAAUCUGGCUGCUUUGUAGUCCGAGUUGUAAUUUGAAGGAGUCUUGCCGCUGGCAAAACGAUGGCACAAGUCCUCUGGAACGGGGCAUCGUAGAGGGUGAGAAUCCCGUCUCUGGUCAUCACGCGCUGGCAUACGGCAGGCAUCCGAAGAGUCGAGUUGUUUGGGAUUGCAGCUCCAAUUGGGUGGUAAACUCCAUCUAAGGCUAAAUAUUGGCGAGAGACCGAUAGCGAACAAGUACCGUGAGGGAAAGAUGAAAAGAACUUUGAAAAGAGAGUAAAACAGUACGUGAAAUUGUUGAAAGGGAAACGAUUGAAG